UUUUUGCGUUAGGGAUAGCAGUGGAUAGCCCACAGGGAGGAACGACCGAGGUUAUCUAACGAAUAGCCCGACCCUUG
RNAcentral lists this unclassified non-coding RNA (77 nucleotides) under Algibacter luteus. RNAcentral describes it as "Arenitalea lutea Flavo-1 RNA". Lineage: Bacteria; Pseudomonadati; Bacteroidota; Flavobacteriia; Flavobacteriales; Flavobacteriaceae. The record is from RNAcentral.